Molecule: unclassified non-coding RNA, 2698 nt
Filed under: Leishmania donovani
Lineage: Eukaryota; Euglenozoa; Kinetoplastea; Trypanosomatida; Trypanosomatidae
Description: gene:unknown
Source: RNAcentral
ACACAGACACCUAUGUUGGUAAGUUUUGUUGUUGUUCGUAGGCGCAUCUGUACGACACAUCCACGCCACUUCUCUUCCACUGCUCCGUCUGCACGUUCUUUGAAGGUCUCUCUCUCUCUGGUCGUCUCUUCCCUUCGCCGAGUUCUCGCGGAGCUAUGCGGUGUUUUCUGUCGUGCUCCGCGCGAGACUGAUAAAGUCGUCAAGCACGGCUGGCGAUGCCGUGUGGUAUGCAAGACAGAGAAAACGUAACCAAGAAAAACAGAGAAGCGGGAUCGGUCUGUUUGCCCGUUUCUAUGUUUUGUGCGUCGCUUCAUGUGAGCCGGUGCAAACAUCUGAGAUGAGGCCGGCUGACUCUCUCCAGCCGGCGCACGCGAGGCUCGGAGAGCGAUGGUCCGAUGAAGGGCGUGACAGAAGACAGCUACGAGAAGGGAUAGGGACGGUAGCUUGGCAGAGAUGGAUGGCUUGAUGCGUUGAAAGGCGACGAGCACGCACAUCCGAGAGCCUGCGAGAUGGUGCAACAAAGAAAAGUCGAAGCACGGAGUACAUGAGACGCAGCGCUGAAAAGGGAAGUCAGCUGGGUAUGUAAGGUGCCGAUUCCCGUGUGUGCACGUCUUGUCGCAAAGAACACAGACCAACAACAGAAGACGCUGCUGCGUGCUGCGCAUGCAUCUGCGUGAACUGUUAGCGGACGGCUAGCGGUGCCAUCUCCGUUUCCUUUCUUCUGCCCUGUGCAUGUGUGGUGUCUGACCAUGGUGGGCCUCACACAACGAAACAUAUGCAGAGAUAUAUGCACAUCUCUAUGCAUGGAAACAAAAGACAAACACGCCAAGAAAACUCACAUGGGAACUUGAUGGUCGGAAGUUAAAGAACACAACAGAGGGUGGGGAAGGUGACUACAAACAAGGAAAGAAAGCGAACGAAAAAGAAGCUCAUCUUUCUCAUCUUUCUCGUCUUUCACUUGUUUUUGUUGUUGCUCACCUUGCCGCUUUCUUCUUCAUCCAUCGUGUUGUGGAGACAUGGGACAUGGAGACAUGAAGGGAGCGACUCUCCUCUCCCACUCUCUGUCUUUCCAGUGGUCAGGCUCGCGCCAUCAUCACGUGUGCGCGUUUGCCAACAUGCAAAAAAAAAACAAAUAAAGCAACAACAGCAAAAAAGAAGGCGCGCGACAAUGAUUUUUUUUUUCCUCUCCUUUUCUGGAGCCUCAUCAAGGUUUUCCCUUUGGUGCUCCUUGUCCUUCGCAUUUCUCUCCUAUUGUCUGUCUUGUGCGCGCACGCGCGUCCGUGCACGUGUGACCCUUUUCCUCGUGGUCCGCUACGGUGGGUGGGCGCUUCAACUUCUUUUCAUCGUCAUUUCUGUUGCCACACAGACGUGCUAUGCCCCACACCCCUCCCCCCUCCCGUUGUCUCUCUCUCUCUGCUCUUGUCGCUCAUGCCCUUGCCCUCAAGCUGCUCUUCUCUGCGCCCUCUUGCUUUCCUUUGUUCUUUGCUGUUCUCCCCGUGUGUGCUCCUUGCCCAGCCUUGCGCUAGAUUAGCCAAGACGCUCUCUCUCCCUCUCUCUGCACGUUAGCAGGGACAUAUCGCACGCAACUGGCCCUCGCCCUCCAUCCACCCAUCCAUCUCCGCUGACGCACUCCUCUCCGAAUGCUUGUCCUCUUCUUGUUUUGUUCUUUUUUGUUACCUUCACCCCCCCCCCAUGUCUCAUGUUGUUGCGUGUGUCUGUUGUGCUUGUGAAGGGCCGUUGUUCUCUUCUUUCGUUUUCCCUGUAUUCUCUGCCGCACGAUCUCUCUCUCGCUAACUUUUUCCCUGUACCGCCUUCCGUGUGAGAUGGGCUAUGGCUGAUUUCCGUCGUCUUGCCUUUCUCUGUUUCUUCUUCGGUUCGUACUGAUGCUUGUCGGUCUGUUUUUUUUUUGUUCUCCUCGCUCAUGUGUAUCGAUGAGUCUUUUCUCUGUUUCCGUCUCCGUCUCUUUCCCUCUCUCUUGCAUUUGCAUGUGUGCUUGUGCGGAAUAGGCUGCUGAGUGCGACGCGACAAUUCACAUCCACUCCAAACCCUGGCUCCCGCACGCGCACGCAGAAGAAAAAUACUAUGAGGAGGGCCCGCUACACCUCACUCUCGCAGCGCCGUGCAACGGUUGCCGAGGAAGACGAAAGCGAGAGAGCGAACGGAAUAUUAAGCAGACCAAGACAUCGCUUCCGCUAGGGCAGGAGGGUGGAAAACAACCACGAAGAAAGAAACACGCAUGAUGCGUACACCGUUGGGACUUGUGCAUGUGCUUGAUGUCUACGUGAAUGCUUUAUUCGUAACCCGCUCACUUCUCUGAGAGCCAUUCUCUCUCUCUCUCUCCCAUGUGAACGAACGAAAGCAAAAAAAAACACAGCAGAAAAAGAAGGGAGAAAGAAGGGGGAUCGAUAAUACACAAAGGCAAAAGUGUAGGCGAAUGCCGGAAAUGAAUGCCGAAACCAAAAGGCGGAAGAAACAAACAAAGGGAUGGCGCGCGAACUCCACCGUUCCCAUUGACCGGCACGCGAGUGUCAGAGAGGACGCGCGCGGUGCGAGCGUAAUAGGUUGUACUCUGUGGAAGUAGUGGUCUGUACAUGCUGUCGCCGCGCAUGUUCUUCUGUCCAUUCUCCGUCGUCUGGCCUCUCUUCCCUCCCGGUUCAGGCGUCACGAGACUCUCUUUGCGAGCUUGCGCGUGUUGCUG